UGGGGAAUAUUGGACAAUGGGGGCAACCCUGAUCCAGCGACGCCGCGUGUGUGAAGAAGGCCUGCGGGUUGUAAAGCACUUUUAGUGGGGAUGAAAAGUGCAGAGAUAACACCUCUGCAUCUUGACCUAACCUACAGAAAAAGCACCGGCUAACUCUGUGCCAGCAGCCGCGGUAAUACAGAGGGUGCAAGCGUUAAUCGGAAUUACUGGGCGUAAAGCGUGCGUAGACGGUAGCGUAAGUCGGGUGUGAAAGCCCCGGGCUCAACCUGGGAAUUGCAUUCGAGACUGCUCUGCUAGGGUGCGGAAGAGGGAAGCGGAAUUUCCGGUGUAGCGGUGAAAUGCGUAGAUAUCGGAAGGAACACCAGUGGCGAAAGCGGCUUCCUGGUCCAGCACCGACGUUCAGGCACGAAAGCGUGGGGAGCAAACA
Molecule: ribosomal RNA, 427 nt
Filed under: uncultured Sinobacteraceae bacterium
Lineage: Bacteria; Pseudomonadati; Pseudomonadota; Gammaproteobacteria; Nevskiales; Nevskiaceae
Also listed under: 1 other name
Description: partial 16S ribosomal RNA
Rfam family: Bacterial small subunit ribosomal RNA
Source: RNAcentral